This 465-nucleotide ribosomal RNA is filed under the name uncultured bacterium. RNAcentral describes it as "partial 16S ribosomal RNA". It matches the Rfam family "Bacterial small subunit ribosomal RNA", at positions 28 to 507 of the family's 1533-position model. The record is from RNAcentral.
GACGAACGCUGGCGGCGUGCUUAACACAUGCAAGUCGAACGGAAAGGCCCCUUUGGGGGUCCUCGAGUGGCGAACGGGUGAGUAACACGUGAGUAACCUGCCCUUGACUUCGGGAUAACUUCAGGAAACUGGGGCUAAUACCGGAUAGGAAUCCUUGCUGCAUGGUGGGGGUUGGAAAGCUUCGGCGGUUUUGGAUAGACUCGCGGCUUAUCAGCUUGUUGGUGGGGUAGUGGCUUACCAAGGCUUUGACGGGUAGCCGGCCUGAGAGGGCGACCGGCCACAUUGGGACUGAGAUACGGCCCAGACUCCUACGGGAGGCAGCAGUGGGGAAUAUUGCACAAUGGGCGGAAGCCUGAUGCAGCAACGCCGCGUGCGGGAUGACGGCCUUCGGGUUGGAAACCGCUUUCAGCAGGGGCGAAGCUUGUGGUGACGGUACCUGCAGAAGAAGCACCGGCUAACUACGUG